UCGGCAAAGCCUGGGCGGCGUGCUUACACAUGCAGUCGAACGGAAAGGCCCUGCUUGCAGGGUACUCGAGUGGCGAACGGGUGAGUAACACGUGGGUGAUCUGCCCUGCACUUCGGGAUAAGCCUGGGAAACUGGGUCUAAUACCGGAUAGGAGCCAUUUUUAGCGUGAUGGUUGGAAAGUUUUUUCGGUGUAGGAUGAGCUCGCGGCCUAUCAGCUUGCUGGUGGGGUAAUGGCCUACCAAGGCGGCGACGGGUAGCCGGCCUGAGAGGGUGGACGGCCACAUUGGGACUGAGAUACGGCCCAGACUCCUACGGGAGGCAGCAGUGGGGAAUAUUGCACAAUGGGCGCAAGCCUGAUGCAGCGACGCCGCGUGGGGGAUGACGGCCUUCGGGUUGUAAACUCCUUUCGCUAGGGACGAAGCUUUUGUGACGGUACCUAGAUAAGAAGCACCGGCUAACUACGUGCCAGCAGCCGCGGUAAUACGUAGGGUGCGAGCGUUGUCCGGAAUUACUAGGCGUAAAGGGCUCGUAGGUGGUUUGUCGCGUCGUCUGUGAAAUUCCGGGGCUUAACUCCGGGCGUGCAGGCGAUACGGGCAUAACUUGAGUACUGUAGGGGUAACUGGAAUUCCUGGUGUAGCGGUGAAAUGCGCAGAUAUCAGGAGGAACACCGAUGGCGAAGGCAGGUUACUGGGCAGUUACUGACGCUGAGGAGCGAAAGCAUGGGUAGCGAACAGGAUUAGAUACCCUGGUAGUCCAUGCCGUAAACGGUGGGCGCUAGGUGUGAGGGUCUUUUCACGACUUUCGUGCCGUAGCUAACGCAUUAAGCGCCCCGCCUGGGGAGUACGGCCGCAAGGCUAAAACUCAAAUGAAUUGACGGAAGGGC
This 883-nucleotide ribosomal RNA is filed under the name uncultured bacterium. Its description in RNAcentral is "bacterial SSU rRNA". It matches the Rfam family "Bacterial small subunit ribosomal RNA", at positions 26 to 922 of the family's 1533-position model. The record is from RNAcentral.